RNAcentral lists this ribosomal RNA (383 nucleotides) under uncultured eukaryote. RNAcentral's name for it is "partial 18S ribosomal RNA". It matches the Rfam family "Eukaryotic small subunit ribosomal RNA", at positions 592 to 976 of the family's 1831-position model. The record is from RNAcentral.
CAAUAGCGUAUAUUAAAGUUGUUGCAGUUAAAAAGCUCGUAGUUGGAUUUCUGGUGGGAGCGAUCGGUCUGGCGCUUAGCGCGAGUACUUGCAUCGUCUCCGGCCAUCCUUGGGGAGAGUCUGUCUGGCAUUAGGUUGUCGGGCAGAGGAUCCUCAUCGUUUACUGUGAAAAAAUUAGAGUGUUCAAAGCAGGCUUAUGCCGUUGAAUAUAUUAGCAUGGAAUAAUAAGAUAGGACUUUGGUACUAUCUUGUUGGUUUGCGCACCAAAGUAAUGAUUAAUAGGGACAGUUGGGGGUAUUCGUAUUCCGUUGUCAGAGGUGAAAUUCUUGGAUUUACGGAAGACGAACUACUGCGAAAGCAUUUACCAAGGAUGUUUUCAUUAA